UACGUAGGGGGCAAGCGUUGUCCGGAAUUAUUGGGCGUAAAGGGCGCGUAGGCGGCUUGCACAGUCAGGCGUGAAAUUCCUGGGCUCAACCUGGGGACUGCGCUUGAGACGUGUGGGCUUGAGUGGGGAAGAGGGUCGUGGAAUUCCCAGUGUAGAGGUGAAAUUCGUAGAUAUUGGGAAGAACACCGGUGGCGAAGGCGGCGACCUGGUCCUUGACUGACGCUGAGGCGCGAAAGCGUGGGGAGCAAACAGG
Molecule: ribosomal RNA, 253 nt
Filed under: uncultured bacterium
Lineage: Bacteria
Description: partial 16S ribosomal RNA
Rfam family: Bacterial small subunit ribosomal RNA
Source: RNAcentral